UAGAUAUGCUGUGAUUUAUUUAACUGUUCACUGUCAGUGUGCAUUUAAUAUGUCUCAAUUUUUUGUUUGCACUUAUAGAUAUAAAUUACAUAAUCGUGUGUGUGUGUGUGUGUGUGUGUUUAUAAGAGUAUUAGCUGGGUAAAAGGACACAACCGUCUAA
Molecule: small RNA, 160 nt
Filed under: Marmota monax (woodchuck)
Lineage: Eukaryota; Metazoa; Chordata; Mammalia; Rodentia; Sciuridae
Source: RNAcentral